UACGUAGGUGGCAAGCGUUGUCCGGAUUUACUGGGUGUAAAGGGCGUGUAGCCGGGCUGACAAGUCAGAUGUGAAAUCCGGGGGCUCAACCCCCGAACUGCAUUUGAGACUGUUGGUCUUGAGUAUCGGAGAGGCAGGCGGAAUUCCUAGUGUAGCGGUGAAAUGCGUAGAUAUUAGGAGGAACACCAGUGGCGAAGGCGGCCUGCUGGACGACAACUGACGGUGAGGCGCGAAAGCGUGGGGAGCAAACAGG
This 253-nucleotide ribosomal RNA is filed under the name uncultured bacterium. Its description in RNAcentral is "partial 16S ribosomal RNA". It matches the Rfam family "Bacterial small subunit ribosomal RNA", at positions 524 to 776 of the family's 1533-position model. The record is from RNAcentral.